RNAcentral lists this ribosomal RNA (398 nucleotides) under uncultured bacterium. RNAcentral's name for it is "bacterial SSU rRNA". It matches the Rfam family "Bacterial small subunit ribosomal RNA", at positions 358 to 773 of the family's 1533-position model. The record is from RNAcentral.
GGAAUAUUGGACAAUGGGCGAAAGCCUGAUCCAGCAAUGCCGCGUGAGUGAUGAAGGCCUUAGGGUUGUAAAGCUCUUUUACCCGGGAAGAUAAUGACUGUACCGGGAGAAUAAGCCCCGGCUAACUCCGUGCCAGCAGCCGCGGUAAUACAGAGGUGGCAAGCGUUGUUCGGAAUUACUGGGCGUAAAGCGCGCGUAGGCGGCUUUGUAAGUCAGAGGUGAAAGCCUGGAGCUCAACUCCAGAACUGCCUUUGAGACUGCAUCGCUAGAAUCAUGGAGAGGUUAGUGGAAUUCCGAGUGUAGAGGUGAAAUUCGUAGAUAUUCGGAAGAACACCAGUGGCGAAGGCGACUAACUGGACAUGUAUUGACGCUGAGGUGCGAAAGCGUGGGGAGCAAAC